CAGUCUCUAGGGAAGGCAGACCUGUGUGUAGAAGAUGAGGCUGCUGGGUCUCCUCCUGUGCCUGCUGACAACCCCCCAGGGUGUCUGGUCCCAAGUGCAGCUGAAGGAGUCAGGCCCAGGACUGGUGAAGCCCUCACAGACCCUCUCCCUCACCUGCACAAUCUCUGGAUCCUCCAUCACCAGUUACUACUGGAGCUGGAUCCGCCAGGCCCCAGGGAAGGGACUGGAGCAUAUCGGGUAUAUAACUAGUAGUGGAAGCUCUUACUACAGCCCGUCCUUCAAGAGCCGAGCCUCCAUCUCCAGAGACACCUCCAAGAACCAGAUCUCCCUGCAGCUGAGCUCCAUGAGCACCGAGGACACAGCUGUGUAUUACUGUGCAAGAGACACAAUGAGGGGAAGUCAGCAAGAGCCCAGACACAAACCUCCCUGCAGGAAACCGGGAGGCUGGUCUGCAGGGGUCCCUCAGGACACCAGAGGAUACAGUGGAAACAUACACUGA
This is a non-coding RNA of Pteronotus mesoamericanus, 499 nucleotides long. The record is from the annotation of a RefSeq genome assembly. Lineage: Eukaryota; Metazoa; Chordata; Mammalia; Chiroptera; Mormoopidae.